Molecule: ribosomal RNA, 1387 nt
Filed under: Klebsiella variicola
Lineage: Bacteria; Pseudomonadati; Pseudomonadota; Gammaproteobacteria; Enterobacterales; Enterobacteriaceae
Description: bacterial SSU rRNA
Rfam family: Bacterial small subunit ribosomal RNA
Source: RNAcentral
AGCGGUAGCACAGAGAGCUUGCUCUCGGGUGACGAGCGGCGGACGGGUGAGUAAUGUCUGGGAAACUGCCUGAUGGAGGGGGAUAACUACUGGAAACGGUAGCUAAUACCGCAUAACGUCGCAAGACCAAAGUGGGGGACCUUCGGGCCUCAUGCCAUCAGAUGUGCCCAGAUGGGAUUAGCUGGUAGGUGGGGUAACGGCUCACCUAGGCGACGAUCCCUAGCUGGUCUGAGAGGAUGACCAGCCACACUGGAACUGAGACACGGUCCAGACUCCUACGGGAGGCAGCAGUGGGGAAUAUUGCACAAUGGGCGCAAGCCUGAUGCAGCCAUGCCGCGUGUGUGAAGAAGGCCUUCGGGUUGUAAAGCACUUUCAGCGGGGAGGAAGGCGGUGAGGUUAAUAACCUCACCGAUUGACGUUACCCGCAGAAGAAGCACCGGCUAACUCCGUGCCAGCAGCCGCGGUAAUACGGAGGGUGCAAGCGUUAAUCGGAAUUACUGGGCGUAAAGCGCACGCAGGCGGUCUGUCAAGUCGGAUGUGAAAUCCCCGGGCUCAACCUGGGAACUGCAUUCGAAACUGGCAGGCUAGAGUCUUGUAGAGGGGGGUAGAAUUCCAGGUGUAGCGGUGAAAUGCGUAGAGAUCUGGAGGAAUACCGGUGGCGAAGGCGGCCCCCUGGACAAAGACUGACGCUCAGGUGCGAAAGCGUGGGGAGCAAACAGGAUUAGAUACCCUGGUAGUCCACGCUGUAAACGAUGUCGAUUUGGAGGUUGUGCCCUUGAGGCGUGGCUUCCGGAGCUAACGCGUUAAAUCGACCGCCUGGGGAGUACGGCCGCAAGGUUAAAACUCAAAUGAAUUGACGGGGGCCCGCACAAGCGGUGGAGCAUGUGGUUUAAUUCGAUGCAACGCGAAGAACCUUACCUGGUCUUGACAUCCACAGAACUUUCCAGAGAUGGAUUGGUGCCUUCGGGAACUGUGAGACAGGUGCUGCAUGGCUGUCGUCAGCUCGUGUUGUGAAAUGUUGGGUUAAGUCCCGCAACGAGCGCAACCCUUAUCCUUUGUUGCCAGCGGUUAGGCCGGGAACUCAAAGGAGACUGCCAGUGAUAAACUGGAGGAAGGUGGGGAUGACGUCAAGUCAUCAUGGCCCUUACGACCAGGGCUACACACGUGCUACAAUGGCAUAUACAAAGAGAAGCGACCUCGCGAGAGCAAGCGGACCUCAUAAAGUAUGUCGUAGUCCGGAUUGGAGUCUGCAACUCGACUCCAUGAAGUCGGAAUCGCUAGUAAUCGUAGAUCAGAAUGCUACGGUGAAUACGUUCCCGGGCCUUGUACACACCGCCCGUCACACCAUGGGAGUGGGUUGCAAAAGAAGUAGGUAGCUUAACCUCGG